This 4638-nucleotide long non-coding RNA is filed under the name Sus scrofa (pig). RNAcentral describes it as "lncRNA (ENSSSCG00060038635.1)". Lineage: Eukaryota; Metazoa; Chordata; Mammalia; Artiodactyla; Suidae. The record is from RNAcentral.
AACUCGAUUCGCUUGAAAUGAACUCUCAAUGAUUAAUGUACCUGGAAUAAAAAUAAAGCUACAUGGGUAUACCUCAAUGAAGUCAGAGGAACACACACAAUAUAAAUUUUAAGAAGUUGACUCUGAGGAUGCCAUUUUUUUUUUUUUUGAGCAUGUCGUUCUACAUACUAUUCAGUAUAUUGAGAUAUACUGGUAUUAUCCUGGAUAAAUAGACCAUUUAUACUCAGUCUCUGUAAAACUCUAGAUUCACUAUCGUGAAUUCCAGUGUCCACUAUGUAGUUUUUUGCUAAAACUGACAACAGCAUGACUCCGACAUGCUUUUAUCUAGUUCAUUUUAUAAGCACAUACAGAAGGACAGUUAAAUCUGAGCUGCAUAUCUGGAUUUUAAUGACAUGCCAGAAUCAAGCUUGCCUUGUAAUUUUCUAAAGCAAGAAAAAUUAUAAAGAAAUCAGAAAAAAAUGCUAUUAGUUCUGAUGGGGUGUAUGGGAGAAGAUCAAGAAGCAGAAAAUAUUUCAAAGAAGACAGAUUCCUUCCUUCUAAAGAGUAGAAAUCAACAAACCCUUAUUUAACAUCUUCUCAUCUCUGAAAUUUUAUGUUAUCAGAAAGGUAAAAAGCUGUCUAAGGGAAAGCAUUCAAGUCUACAUAGUUUGUUUAUAAAAUACAGGACUAUUAAGUAGUACCAAUUAUGGUAAGACACUGAAAUGUUUUUGCUUUGCUUCUUUCACAUGUGGGAUACAUGGAUAUCUGAUUAUGAAAGUGUGUGCUCCAUGCGUAUAUACGUUCUAUGUGCUGAAUUUCCAAUUCACAUCCUAUAGCAAUGAUUUUUUUAUAUGUAUAUAUGGUUCAUUACUCAUCCAUUUUAACAACAUAGAAUUUUGUGGUUAUAGCCUCUGCACAUUAGUAAUAAAAACCUCACAUGCAAAUAAUAUUAAAAUAUAAGAUAAUGUUAAAUAAUUAUAUCCUUUCUCUCACCAUAUAUUCCCAUAUGUAGCCCUAUAGCCUAGUACAGUCCUAGGUAUUCAAUCGUAUAUGUUUAAGAAAAAUAAGUGAAGGAGUAAAAUAAAAUUUGGAUUGCUUUCAAGACAUAUAAGUUUUGCAUAACUUAGAGUGACUAGAAUGAUAGUGUAUGUUUGGUACAUUCAACUCAGGAUUUAUUAUGCACUUUUUUUCAGAAUCCUUUUUACUUUAAGGGAUGAUUUUCUUUUAAUAAUUAUACUACAAAACCUGAGGUAUAUAACACUUCUCCAUCAAAAAUGGAAUUGGUACAAAAGGGGAAGAGGCAUUGAGAAAGUCCCAAGUCAUUGUAAAAGGACCUUCCCCAAUUGAAAAGCACUAAAUUACUGAAUAUGUACAUUUACAACUGUUUCCUUUGCCCUCAUUACAUUUUCUUGAAAUAAAACCAAAGUGGCCUCAAUUCACAAUAUAACUGAAUACUAAAACACUCAAUAUAGGAUAAAAUGUAUACCUAGCACAAAAUUUUUUAUUGCUUUUCAUAAUUGCUUUAAAUAUAUUCACGAUUGGGUAGAAAAAUGACUGCCUUAAAGGAUAUUCUUUUGUGAGUCAGAAAAAGUGAUUAUUUAUUAAUGAGAUGCAAAUCCUACAAAAAGUUAAUCAGAAAAAAUAUAAACUACAAUUAACCCUUGAACAAGAGCUUGAAAUGUGUGAAUCCACCUAUAUGUGGAUUUUUCUGUAAUAAUGCCCCAGUGUUAUAUACAUCAGUAGCUGGUUGAAUCUGUGAAUGCAGAACCUGGGAUACGGAAGACCAACUAUUAGUUAUACAAAGGUGUUUGACUGCAUGGAGGGUUGGAGCAACCAAGCCCUGCUUGUUCAAGACUCAAAUGUAGUAUAAUUUUUGCAAAUUAAACCAUAUUAAAAAUAUAAAAUUGUUCUUAAUUUGUUAGGAAUACUCAGUGACUCUUUGGUCUUCUUUGGCCACAGUGACUCCUUAUUCCCCACUUUUGAUGUUUACUCCAGCAUGAAGAUACAUCAAUUUAUGUAUCUAUGUCUUUUCCUCAUCUUUUUAGUCAUGCUCCCUUAGGGGCAGCAUGACUCUCUUGAUUGGUGAAUUUGGAAGGAGUACUUUGCAGUGUACAGCCAAGACUUUCAGGGGAAACCUAGUUAUAUAAAUACGUUAUCCUGGGGUUUGGAUUUAGUAAGCAUAAUUUCUGGUAUAUGUAAGCCAGUUUCUCUGUUAUCAGCUUUGCAAUAUUUCUGUGCACACCUGCAUUUUGGUUUGCUUUGUUUGUUUGAAGUAGUUUAGCAUGAAGCAGAAAAGAGAAUAAAUAAUGGACUCCUUAGCUACAACAAAAUGUUUUUUCAAAACUUAGAAAUUGAUUUUUAUUGUACAUCCUAAAGGCCAUCUGUAUGUCUUCUUUGGAAAAACGUCUAUUUAGAUCUUUUGCCCAGUCUUUUGAUUAGGUUGUUUGUUAUAUCAAUGAUGAGUUGUAUGAAUUGUUUUUAUAUUUGGAUAGUAUCUUGUUGAAGAUUUUUGCAUUUGUGUUCAUCAGAGAUUUGGGCAUAUAGGUUUUGGGGGGUUUUUGUUUGUUUGUUUGUAGUGGUUUUGGCUUUGGUAUCAGGGUAAUUCUGUCCUCAUAAAAGUUAGAAAGUGUUUCCUACUUUUCAAUUAUUUGGGAGAUUUUGAAAAUCAGCAUUAAUUCUGUAUGUGUUUGAUAUAGUUCACCAGUGAAACCAUCUGAUUUGGGGCUUCCUUGUUGGGAGUAGGAGUUAUUAAAAACAGAGAUAAAGAAGCUUUUAUUUCAAUAUUUUAAUCAGAAUACUUUUACCCCAAAAAAUUAGCAAAAUGACUUUGAUGGGAUUUGUACAUAUUUUCACAUGUUCAUCAAACUUUUAUAAAAAUUCUUUCUUUGGUUUCAAGGGGCAUAUAUGUAUGAGUACACACACGUGCACACACACACACACACACACAUCUCUAGCUGUCUUAAUACUCCUCACUGGAUUGAUAUAGGUAAAUGUAGUUUACCUUUAUUCACCUUCUGCUUUUACAUAUCACCAAGCCACUAUCCCUUUAUCGUAAAGAGUAACUACAUGAUGACAUAUAUUCUCAUUGUAAUAUUGUCUGGAAGAACUGAUAGAAAGUCUUGCAAAGCAUACACAGCAAAUGCUGACAGAAUAUCUUUUAUAUUCCAGGCACAUGAUAUGCUUUCUAUAUAUAUCAGCUGAAUUAAUGAAUAAGUAAACUAAAAGCAUUUUUAAAACUAUGAGGUUUUAUGGACACUUACGUAUAAAAUGAAAGGAAUUCAUUUCAUUAAUAGUUUGAAAAACCUAAUAGUAAAGACAAUAGAAGGUGCUAUGCUAUUUUUUCAUUUUCAGUUUUGUUCCAAAAUUAUUCAAUACUAUGAUAUCUUCUAUUUUGAUGUUUAUAUAUUACUGAAUUUGAAUCUGGGGGAUGUUUAGUUAAGCUAAAAUCUUCAUGUCACUAGAAUUUUCCCCCAAAUCAGAAGAAUGAAGUAAGGUUCACAGCAAUGUUGCUCCAUAAUAGUUUUAUAUUUUUUGUUAAUUAAUUUCAACUGUUUAAAGUUUAUUGCUUUCCACUUGAAGAUUAGUAGUUUUACAAAUGGAAUUCUAUACUUGCAACUUUUUGGAUAUAUGCUACCUUAUUUGGUCUGUAGUGUGAUUAUGUAUUUAUUUAUUUGGCUAAAUAGAAAUCCUUCGUAAUAAUCAUUUAAUCCUCACUAUAAUCCUAUAAGACAGACACUGUUAAAAUCCCCAUUGUAUCUUAGAGAAAUAGAGGCACGUAAGAGAUUAAUAAGUUUCCAUACAUAACACAAUAAUAAAUUUUAAAGGAAGGUUAUGAAUCCAUGCAGUGUAGCUCUGGAGUCUGUGAUCUUAACAAAUUGGAAUACUGCCUCUCUAAAAGGCCUUUAUAAAUAAAUGGUCAUGAUCACGGGUGAAUGAUGAUUCCCAUCAUCUUCCUUGCCAGUCACUUUGUGGCCCCCUUUGCUACUACAUAGUAGAUAAUGAGGGCAUAUUUAUUUCUAGAUAAAGUGAGGAAUUUUAAUAUUUCAUCAUUCAUGUUAUUCAGGCUAUAUUUGUUUGUGUACUUUUUACUAGCUCAUUCACUAAGUACCUCCUAUGUGUUGGUUUCUGUGCUAUGCAUUGAGCAAAACCAAGAAGUUUCCUGAGUCUGAUUUGCUGAAGAGUGAAGAAGAAUUAAGGUACAUACAAAUAAUUAGUUAUUUGUUAUUAAAAGCUAAACAAAAUUAAAAAAAAACACGAUAUGUGAAGUUUCAUUCCAUAUGGUGCAGGAACAGCAACAUUUGUGAGAUGUGUCUGAUGUGGUGACCUUCAUUCUGAUUCUCUAUCAGUCAUGAAACACAUGUUAUGGAGCACUCACUCUCCAGUCACUGUGUCAGGUGUGGAAAUGAUACAACACAACAAAUGACAAAUAUAUCCGCUACUUCCAUUGAAUCUAAAUCAACCAACCAUCUCCAUUACCUAUCACCCUUUCAUUCUCCACUUCCCAGUGCUCUUUCUGACAUCCCUCAGGCAGGUACUAUUUCUACUUGCUUCAAUACAAACACAGUUGCCAUGCAAACACCUACACAUACACACACACAUUCAAAGUUUAUGAAUCACUCAUCAGAUAAUGCAAUUAAUUUGAUUGUGCUAGUAAGAAAU